RNAcentral lists this ribosomal RNA (289 nucleotides) under Blastocystis sp. subtype 3. RNAcentral describes it as "partial 18S small subunit ribosomal RNA". It matches the Rfam family "Eukaryotic small subunit ribosomal RNA", at positions 59 to 368 of the family's 1831-position model. Lineage: Eukaryota; Bigyra; Opalinata; Blastocystidae. The record is from RNAcentral.
GUAAGUAUAAAUAGUUAACUUUGAAACUGCGAAUGGCUCAUUAUAUCAGUUAUAGUUUAUUUGAUGAAGAAUACUAAUUGGAUAACCGUAGUAAUUCUAGAGCUAAUACAUGUAUAAAGUCUUGUAGACUGCAUUUAUUAGAAUGAAAACCAUAGGUUUCGGCCUAUUCGUGAGUAAUAAUAACUAAUCAUAUCGUAUGCUUAUGUAACGAUGUGUCUUUCAAGUUUCUGCCCUAUCAGCUUUCGAUGGUAGUGUAUUGGACUACCAUGGCAGUAACGGGUAACGAAGA